RNAcentral lists this ribosomal RNA (468 nucleotides) under uncultured bacterium. RNAcentral's name for it is "partial 16S ribosomal RNA". It matches the Rfam family "Bacterial small subunit ribosomal RNA", at positions 28 to 507 of the family's 1533-position model. The record is from RNAcentral.
GACGAACGCUGGCGGCGUGCUUAACACAUGCAAGUCGAACGGACAGGCCCUGCUUUUGUGGGUUGCUCGAGAGGCGAACGGGUGUGUAACACGUGAGUAUCCUGCCCUUAACUUUGGGGUAACUCCAGGAGACUGGGGCUAAUACCGGAUAGGAGCUCCUGCUGCAUGUGGUGGGUUGGAAAGUUUCGGCGGUUGGGGAUGGACGCGCGGCUUAUCAGCUUGUUGGUGGGGUAGUGGCUUACCAAGGCUUCGACGGGUAGCCGGCCUGAGAGGGUGACCGGCCACAUUGGGACUGAGAGACGGACCAGACGCCUACCGGAGGCAGCAGUGGGGAAUAUUGCACAAUGGGCGGAAGCCUGAUGCAGCAACGCCGCGUGCGUGAUGACGGCCUUCGGGUGGUAAACCGCUUUCGCCGGUGACGAAGCGUGAGUGACGGUAAUGGGUAAAGAAGCACCGGCUAACUACGUG